RNAcentral lists this ribosomal RNA (276 nucleotides) under uncultured bacterium. Its description in RNAcentral is "partial 16S ribosomal RNA". It matches the Rfam family "Bacterial small subunit ribosomal RNA", at positions 82 to 354 of the family's 1533-position model. The record is from RNAcentral.
CUCCCGCCGGCGACCGGCGCACGGGUGAGUAACACGUAUGAAACCUGCCCGUAGCAGGGGGAUAAGCGGAAGAAAUUCCGUCUAAUACCGCGUAACAACCCGAGGAGGCAUCUCCUCGGGUUUAAAGGAAGCGAUUCCGGCUACGGAUGGUCAUGCGUCGCAUUAGCUAGUUGGUAGGGUAACGGCCUACCAAGCCGACGAUGCGUAGGGGUUCUGAGAGGAAGGUCCCCCACAUUGGAACUGAGACACGGUCCAAACUCCUACGGGAGGCAGCAG